AGCGAACGCUGGCGGCAGGCCUAACACAUGCAAGUCGAACGAACCUUUCGGGGUUAGUGGCGGACGGGUGAGUAACACGUGGGAACGUGCCUUUAGGUUCGGAAUAACUCAGGGAAACUUGUGCUAAUACCGAAUGUGCCCUUCGGGGGAAAGAUUUAUCGCCUUUAGAGCGGCCCGCGUCUGAUUAGCUAGUUGGUUGAGGUAAUGGCUCACCAAGGCGACGAUCAGUAGCUGGUCUGAGAGGAUGAUCAGCCACAUUGGGACUGAGACACGGCCCAAACUCCUACGGGAGGCAGCAGUGGGGAAUCUUGCGCAAUGGGCGAAAGCCUGACUCAGCCAUGCCGCGUGAAUGAUGAAGGUCUUAGGAUUGUAAAAUUCUUUCACCGGGGACGAUAAUGACGGUACCCGGAGAAGAAGCCCCGGCUAACUUCGUG
Molecule: ribosomal RNA, 434 nt
Filed under: uncultured bacterium
Lineage: Bacteria
Description: partial 16S ribosomal RNA
Rfam family: Bacterial small subunit ribosomal RNA
Source: RNAcentral